CCUACGGGAGGCAGCAGUCGGGAAUAUUGCGCAAUGGAGGAAACUCUGACGCAGUGACGCCGCGUAUAGGAAGAAGGUUUUCGGAUUGUAAACUAUUGUCGUUAGGGAAGAAAAAGACAGUACCUAAGGAGGAAGCCCCGGCUAACUAUGUGCCAGCAGCCGCGGUAAUACAUAGGGGGCAAGCGUUAUCCGGAAUUAUUGGGUGUAAAGGGUGCGUAGACGGGUGAGCAAGUUAGUUGUGAAAUCCCUCGGCUUAACCGAGGACGUGCAACUAAAACUACUUAUCUUGAGUAUGGGAGAGGAAAGUGGAAUUCCUAGUGUAGCGGUGAAAUGCGUAGAUAUUAGGAGGAACACCAGUGGCGAAGGCGACUUUCUGGACCAAAACUGACGUUGAUGCACGAAAGUGUGGGGAGCAAACAGGAUUAGAUACCCCAGUAGU
Molecule: ribosomal RNA, 439 nt
Filed under: uncultured Vallitalea sp.
Lineage: Bacteria; Bacillati; Bacillota; Clostridia; Lachnospirales; Vallitaleaceae
Description: bacterial SSU rRNA
Rfam family: Bacterial small subunit ribosomal RNA
Source: RNAcentral